AUGGCGAUCGUCCUGGAUGCUUUUGCAUCCUACGUGCAAAAUAUGCUCACCGAGAUGGUGAGCGGAGAGAUGCACAUGCUGCUAGGAGUCACAGACGAGAUCGAGAAGAUGGAUGUUAAGCUUAAGGAUCUCAAGAACUUCCUUGCUGACGCUGAUAGGAGAAAUAUCACUGACAACAGCGUGCAAGAGUGGGUGGCCGAGCUCAAGCGUGCCAUGUAUGAAGCUGCCGACAUCCUCGACCUCUGCCAGCUCAAGGCCAUGGAGCAGGGUCCGUCCACUAAAGAUGUGGGGUGCUUCAACCCCUUGCUCUUCUGCAUGCGGAAUCCCUCCCAUGCCCACGACAUCGGCACCCGCAUCAAGGCGCUCAACAAGAGGCUCAGCGUCAUCAAGGAGCGAAGCGCUGCUUUUAGCUUCAUCCCUCUUGGUUCCUAUGAGGAUCGUAGCAGCAAGGUGCAAGCCUCUCAUUCUGGAAAUAAGAGACGCGAGACAUCAGGGGUGUUUGACCGGUCAGGUGUAGUCGGAGAGAAGAUCGAACAAGACACAAGAAAGCUAGUUGAGAUUAUGCUGAGUGAAGAGGAGGGCAACACCAACAUCAUGCUGGUCGCUGUUGUUGGUGUCGGCGGAAUCGGCAAGACCACUCUUGCCCAGAAGGUCUUUAAUGAUGAAGCCUUGAAUUCGGAGUUCGAGAAGAUGAUAUGGUUGAGCAUCAAUAAGGACUUUGACAAGGUUGAGUUGCUCAGGACAAUCAUCACGCAAGCCGGGGGAGUACAUGGUGGUGAAAAGGCGUUGGCUGUGCUUCAGCCAAUCCUUGCCACUACCUUGAAAGGGAAGAAGCUAUUCCUGGUGCUAGAUGAUGUUUGGAACCAUGGGGCAUGGGAUGAUGUGCUUAAAGCACCCUUGGCUAAUGAUGUGGCUCGAGGUAGCCGAGUCCUUGUCACUACUAGAGAUGAAAGAGUAGCUCGAGGGAUGAAAGCCGUGCUUCCAUACCACCAUGUCGACAAGUUGGAGGAGGAGGAUGCCUGGUUAUUGCUCAAGAAACAGGUAGUCUCAAGUGAGGCAGAUGCGCGUGAAAUUGAUAUUCUCAAGGACAUUGGGUUGCAAAUUAUAGCAAAAUGUGAUGGUUUGCCUCUUGCUGUGAAAGUAAUGGGAGGACUCUUGUGUCAGAAAGACAAAAAAUAUCAUGCGUGGGAGAUGGUUCUGCAUGACUCCAUAUGGUCGGUAUCUGAAAUACCUGAAGAGUUAAACCAUGCAGUACAUUUAAGCUAUGAAGAUUUGCCGCCUUGUAUCAAACAAUGCUUUUUGUACUACUGCCUUCUCCCUAAAACUGCAUUGUUCUUUCGGCAUAACAUCAUUGGCAUGUGGAUCAGUGAAGGAUUUCUUCACAGCUCAGAAGACUUGGAAGAAUUAGGAAGGGAGUACUAUAAGGAGUUGAUAUUGAGGAACCUGAUAGAGCCAAGCACAAAGUACACGGAUCAAGUUGCGUGCAACAUACAUGAUGUUGUUCGCUCGUUUGGUCAAUUUGUGGCUAGAGAUGAGGCACUAGCAGCCCAGAGUGGAGAAACUAGUUUUGUUAGCAAGCUUAAAGAACAAAAAUUUCUUCGGUUAUCUCUAGAAAGCCAAGCAUCAGAAUCAGAUGGGAUAGACUGGAGUUCCUUACAAGCACAACAGACAUUGAGAACACUAAUAUCAGUUGGCCACAUAAAUAUGAAGCCUGGUGAUUCUUUGGUUCGUUUUCCAUGCCUACGUACUUUCGAUAUAAAAUCUGCACAUGUUGUAGCAUUGCUUGAAUCUUUACAUAAACUCAAGCACUUGAGGUAUUUGUCCUUAGAAGAAACGGAUAUUCCCAGUCUACCAGAUUGCAUUGGAAAGAUGAAAUUCUUGCAGUACAUUAGCCUUAAAGGAUGCAAAGAAAUUGUGCAAGUUCCACAUAGCAUUGUAAUGUUAGAGCAGCUAAGGUAUCUCGACUUCAGGGGAACAAAUAUAACUGACAUACCUAUGGGGUUUAGUGUUUUAACAAACUUGAGGAUAGUACGUGGUUUUCCGGCCCAUGAGGAUGGUGAUUGCUGCAGUUUGGAAGAAUUGGGUCCUCUUUCUCGGCUCAAAGAUCUUGGAAUAAAUGGAUUAGAGAAGGUAACUGCUUCCUUGUCCGCAGCAAAGGCAAAGCUUGGCAAGAAGGUUCAUCUUACCAAGCUAUUCUUAGGUUGUAGUAGUAAACUGGGAAAAGAUAGGCAACGAAUUGAGCAGGUGUUUGAUGAGCUCUGCCCUCCGCCCAGGUUAGAAUUUCUUGAGAUCGGUGGAUACUUUGGCCGAUGGCUCCCAAGGUGGAUGAUGUCUUCAUCAGUUGUGCCCCUCAAGAGCUUGAGGAUUCUGUUCAUUACUGACCUGGCCUACUGCAGACAGCUUCCUGAUGGCUUGUGUCAGCUCCCCUAUUUGGAGUUCUUUAAGAUCCUCCGUGCUCCAGCCAUCAAGCGUGUUGGACCAGAAUUCAUGCAGCCCUACCAUCAGCACAGUCCUCGUCCUUCCCAGAUGGUGGCAGCAUUUCUGAGAUUGCAUGAGUUCUAUUUAAUAGGGAUGGUGGAAUGGGAGGAGUGGGAGUGGGAGGAGCAAGUGCGAGCCUUUCCUGUCUUGCAGCGUCUUAUGCUAAGCCGCUGCAAAUUGAAGUGUCUUCCUCCUGGCCUUGCCUCCCAGGCAAGGGCUUUGAAUAAAUUGUCCAUAUACCAUGUCCAGGGUCUCAUCUCUCUAGAGAACUUUCCCUCUCUGGUUGAGCUGGAUCUGGAUCAAGUCCUUGACCUGGAGAUGAUCACUAAUCUUCCAAGACUGCAGAAGCUUACCAUCAAAUACUGCCAAAAGAUGAAGGCGGUGGAAGGUGUUCCUCUGCUCCAGAGGCUCUUUCUCUCGGAUAACAACAUGGAAACAAUCCCAGAAUACAUGGGAGGUAUAAACCCAAGGCAGUUGGAGCUAUACUGCAGCCCAGCGCUGCUAGCUUCCAUAGCUGCGGGAAAAUCUGGCCCUGAGUGGGACAAGUUCAGCCAUGUUGAACAUGUCAAGACGUAUGCAAGUCAAGGAGAUAAUUCAAGGAAAUGGUAUGUCUUCUACACAGCUAAACCCUACAGCUUGGAGACAAAUGUCAGCGUUUCAUUCAUGUCCAGAGGAACCUUAACUUCUUUUGAGGACACACAGAGAUUUGAGUCUGUCUUCAAAAUGACAAGAAAAACCUUUAGCUACAUCUGCAGUUUGGUGAUGGGGCCGUCAAUGAAAGAUAUGAACAGGUACACCUUUGUUGACGGGAGGGUACUGUCUUUAGAAGAUUGGGUAGCCGUUGCUCUGAAAAGGUUGCAAUCUAGUGAGCCAACAGAGAUCAUAGGAUCCUCUUCUGGUGUUAACGAGUCAACCAUCUUGUUGGUAACUGAGAGGUUUGUUGCUAACUUGCUCGAGCGAGCAAAGAUCUGGUGCUGGCCAGGGUCCAGCGCAAUGGAUAAGAUCAAAUCCAUGUUUGGCAAGAUCCACAAUAUGCAUAACUGUUGUGGUGUUAUAUGCACAACCAAUGUCCCAUUUGUAUCAAAGUGCGACCAUGAGAAGAAACAGAGCACUCAGAUGCAAGUCGUGGUUGAUCCAGGAAUGAGGUUCAUGAACUACAAGGUAGAUAGCAUGAACCAGUCGACCCUUUUGCAGGAUUCUGAAAUCUUCCAGGGGGCUGAGAUGGGCUUUUGGCUGAAUGGCAACAAGCUGAAGGUAUCAGUAGAUGGAUCAGAAAUCGGGGAAUACAUAAUUGGCGAUGAAAGUUACCCUCUUCUCCCAUGGCUACUCACACCUUACCAGGAAGAAGACCUCUCGGAUUCCAAGGUGGAGUUCAAUCGGAGACACUCUGCAACGACAACCUGUGCGUUGAAGGCGAUGGCUAGGUUCAAAGGCACAUGGAAGUACCUGCAAGAAGAGACGUGGUGGCCGGUCAAUCCUGACAGUGUAGUUAAGAUAAUCCGUGCCUGCUGCAUGCUGCACAACAUAGUCAUAGAUAUGGAGGAUGAUGCAGCCAUGCCGAGGUCUACAUCUGAGGAUUGGGACUGCUAUGAGGAAGUGCGCCAGUUAGCAAAUGAGGACGCUGUCUGGGCAAGGGAUAUGCUGUCGCAGUACUUCUUGACCACCAUGUCAUCCGAAUCGGGAGUCGGCCCGGUGGAUGUAGGGGAGGACGGUGAAGUAGCUGCAACAGGCUCAGGGGAUGAAAGCAGGGAACAAGAAGCAGAGACAACAACAGCAGAGGAAGAGAGGCAAUGUUAG
RNAcentral lists this ribosomal RNA (4275 nucleotides) under Triticum aestivum (bread wheat). Its description in RNAcentral is "partial small subunit ribosomal RNA". Lineage: Eukaryota; Viridiplantae; Streptophyta; Magnoliopsida; Poales; Poaceae. The record is from RNAcentral.